Molecule: long non-coding RNA, 1229 nt
Organism: Bos taurus (domestic cattle)
Lineage: Eukaryota; Metazoa; Chordata; Mammalia; Artiodactyla; Bovidae
Source: Ensembl
GUACAUAGGGUACUGAGAACUUCAUAGACAGAAUGAAAAGGAAAAAUAGAAGAAGGUCCAAGAAGUGCUCCACCAGGACCGGAGGCUGCCUUAAUGCCUGAUCCAGGGCCAGGUGAAGUUCCUGCAGCAGCCACUGCUCUUCCAACAGCUCUCCCUGAGGUCGUAGAGCCACCAUUUCGGCAGGCUCUGAUCCCAGCGAUGGAGACCUCUGGUCAACGCCCCCAGAAUUCCACCUCAGCCGGACCUCCUAGAUUGUAUCCACGGCUCCUGACCUGACUUGAGAGACCAGCCAAUCCCAGACCCAGAUUUGGUCCUGUACAGCAAUGGCACCAGCCUGAUGAAACAAGAACAAGGACUGUUGGGAUAUGCAGUAGUCAUGGAAGAAAGCAUCGUUGAGGCUAGCUCUCUGCCAUCACACUGGUCCGCUCAACAGGCCGAUUCAUGUGCUCUAAUCCAGGCUCUCCAGCUGUCAAAAGGCAAGAAGACAAACACUUACACAGACUCCAGGACAGAAUCUUAGAACUGCACUGCCUGCUCAUACGAUCAAUGCUGCCUCUUGGCACAGACAGAAACCUCCGGGGAUUCAGCUGAAAAGCACGCUGCCUUUUGAACACCUGGAAGUGGACUUCACUGAAAUGAAACCUCACCGACACUACCGUUACCUGCUGGUCAUGUUCAAGUUGCAGCUGUCACUCCCUGGAUCCACCACAUGAGGAUGAAGAGAACGUACCAUGCAGACCCAGAAAAUGCUGGGUGGACUGAGCAGAGGGACCCCACUGACCCUCAAGAGACUAAGAUCAUCCUUAAGAAGAAGGAAAAGAAGAUCCUGGACGAGCCCCUUCAGGAUGAAGCCACAUAAUCAACUCCUGCUGUUUGGCCUCAUCAACGUGAUUUUGAAUUUAACUUCCAUUUCCAUUGAGGACAAUGUUUUCAUCUCAUGGGCACAUUCCUACGCGGACUUCCACAACACCUCCAACUACUGGGUACAUGGGGCUAUGCCUCUUUCUGUGACAGACGGACUUCCUUGGUGGGUGUCACCGCUCCACCAAUGAGAUUUUAAACCACUCUGCUCUUUUCUGGAAUGACAAAAAGAGACUUUCCUUUCUCUUGUCAAUCAUAAUCUCUCCUUGCUUUCUUGGUGUAAGCCAGACCUACAGUCAGUAGACUUGGAUCAUUGGGUGACAUUUGAUGUAAACACCAGUUUCACAGAAGUAACAAAAGCCUAUAAC